This 464-nucleotide ribosomal RNA is filed under the name uncultured Granulicatella sp. RNAcentral describes it as "bacterial SSU rRNA". It matches the Rfam family "Bacterial small subunit ribosomal RNA", at positions 338 to 794 of the family's 1533-position model. Lineage: Bacteria; Bacillati; Bacillota; Bacilli; Lactobacillales; Carnobacteriaceae. The record is from RNAcentral.
CCUACGGGGGGCAGCAGUAGGGAAUCUUCCGCAAUGGACGCAAGUCUGACGGAGCAACGCCGCGUGAGUGAAGAAGGUUUUCGGAUCGUAAAACUCUGUUGUUAGAGAAGAACAAGUGCUAGAGUAACUGUUAGCGCCUUGACGGUAUCUAACCAGAAAGCCACGGCUAACUACGUGCCAGCAGCCGCGGUAAUACGUAGGUGGCAAGCGUUGUCCGGAUUUAUUGGGCGUAAAGCGAGCGCAGGCGGUUCCUUAAGUCUGAUGUGAAAGCCCCCGGCUCAACCGGGGAGGGUCAUUGGAAACUGGGGAACUUGAGUGCAGAAGAGGAGAGUGGAAUUCCAUGUGUAGCGGUGAAAUGCGUAGAUAUAUGGAGGAACACCAGUGGCGAAGGCGACUCUCUGGUCUGUAACUGACGCUGAGGCUCGAAAGCGUGGGUAGCAAACAGGAUUAGAUACCCGGGUAGU